This 1344-nucleotide ribosomal RNA is filed under the name Lauriomyces sp. ICMP 15050. RNAcentral describes it as "SSU rRNA". It matches the Rfam family "Eukaryotic small subunit ribosomal RNA", at positions 40 to 1417 of the family's 1831-position model. The record is from RNAcentral. Lineage: Eukaryota; Fungi; Ascomycota; Leotiomycetes.
AAGAUUAAGCCAUGCAUGUCUAAGUAUAAGCAAACUAUACUGUGAAACUGCGAAUGGCUCAUUAAAUCAGUUAUCGUUUAUUUGAUAGUACCUUACUACUUGGAUAACCGUGGUAAUUCUAGAGCUAAUACAUGCUAAAAACCUCGACUUCGGAAGGGGUGUAUUUAUUAGAUAAAAGACCAAUGCCCUUCGGGGCUCCUUGGUGAUUCAUAAUAACUUAACGAAUCGCAUGGCCUUGCGCCGGCGAUGGUUCAUUCAAAUUUCUGCCCUAUCAACUUUCGAUGGUAGGGUAGUGGCCUACCAUGGUUGCAACGGGUAACGGACGAUUAGGGUUGGACUCCGGAGAGGGAGCCUGAGAAACGGCUACCACAUCCAAGGAAGGCAGCAGGCGCGCAAAUUACCCAAUCCCGACGCGGGGAGGUAGUGACAAUAAAUACUGAUACAGGGCUCUUUUGGGUCUUGUAAUUGGAAUGAGUACAAUUUAAAUCUCUUAACGAGGAACAAUUGGAGGGCAAGUCUGGUGCCAGCAGCCGCGGUAAUUCCAGCUCCAAUAGCGUAUAUUAAAGUUGUUGCAGUUAAAAAGCUCGUAGUUGAACCUUGGGUCUGGCUGGCCGGUCCGCCUCACCGCGUGCACUGGUCCGGCCGGACCUUUCCUUCUGGGGAGCCUCAUGCCCUUCACUGGGUGUGCUGGUCAACCAGGACUUUUACUGUGAAAAAAUUAGAGUGUUCAAAGCAGGCCUAUGCUCGAAUACAUUAGCAUGGAAUAAUAGAAUAGGACGUGUGGUUCUAUUUUGUUGGUUAUAGGACCGCCGUAAUGAUUAAUAGGGAUAGUCGGGGGCAUCAGUAUUCAAUUGUCAGAGGUGAAAUUCUUGGAUUUAUUGAAGACUAACUACUGCGAAAGCAUUUGCCAAGGAUGUUUUCAUUAAUCAGGAACGAAAGUUAGGGGAUCGAAGACGAUCAGAUACCGUCGUAGUCUUAACCAUAAACUAUGCCGACUAGGGAUCGGGCGAUGUUAUUAUUUGACUCGCUCGGCACCUUACGAGAAAUCAAAGUUUUUGGGUUCUGGGGGGAGUAUGGUCGCAAGGCUGAAACUUAAAGAAAUUGACGGAAGGGCACCACCAGGUGUGGAGCCUGCGGCUUAAUUUGACUCAACACGGGGAAACUCACCAGGUCCAGACACAAUAAGGAUUGACAGAUUGAGAGCUCUUUCUUGAUUUUGUGGGUGGUGGUGCAUGGCCGUUCUUAGUUGGUGGAGUGAUUUGUCUGCUUAAUUGCGAUAACGAACGAGACCUUAACCUGCUAAAUAGCCAGGCUAGCUUUGGCUGGUCGCAGGCUUCUUAGAGG